GUCGGAUUAGCUAGUUGGUGAGGUAAUGGCUCACCAAGGCAGCGAUCCGUAGCUGGUCUGAGAGGAUGAUCAGCCACAUCGGGACUGAGACACGGCCCGAACUCCUACGGGAGGCAGCAGUGGGGAAUAUUGGACAAUGGGGGCAACCCUGAUCCAGCCAUGCCGCGUGUGUGAAGAAGGCCCUCGGGUUGUAAAGCACUUUCAGCGAGGAAGAACGCCUAGUGGUUAAUACCCAUUAGGAAAGACAUCACUCGCAGAAGAAGCACCGGCUAACUCCGUGCCAGCAGCCGCGGUAAUACGGAGGGUGCAAGCGUUAAUCGGAAUUACUGGGCGUAAAGCGCGCGUAGGUGGCUUGAUAAGCCGGUUGUGAAAGCCCCGGGCUCAACCUGGGAACGGCAUCCGGAACUGUCAGGCUAGAGUGCAGGAGAGGAAGGUAGAAUUCCCGGUGUAGCGGUGAAAUGCGUAGAGAUCGGGAGGAAUACCAGUGGCGAAGGCGGCCUUCUGGACUGACACUGACACUGAGGUGCGAAAGCGUGGGUAGCAAACAGGAUUAGAUACCCUGGUAGUCCACGCCGUAAACGAUGUCGACCAGCCGUUGGGUGCCUAGCGCACUUUGUGGCGAAGUUAACGCGAUAAGUCGACCGCCUGGGGAGUACGGCCGCAAGGUUAAAACUCAAAUGAAUUGACGGGGGCCCGCACAAGCGGUGGAGCAUGUGGUUUAAUUCGAUGCAACGCGAAGAACCUUACCUACCCUUGACAUCGACAGAAGCCGAGAGAGAUCUUGGUGUGCCUUCGGGAACUGUCAGACAGGUGCUGCAUGGCUGUCGUCAGCUCGUGUUGUGAAAUGUUGGGUUAAGUCCCGUAACGAGCGCAACCCUUGUCCUUAUUUGCCAGCGCGUAAUGGCGGGAACUCUAAGGAGACUGCCGGUGACAAACCGGAGGAAGGUGGGGACGACGUCAAGUCAUCAUGGCCCUUACGGGUAGGGCUACACACGUGCUACAAUGGCCGGUACAAAGGGCAGCGAGCUCGCGAGAGUCAGCGAAUCCCUUAAAGCCGGUCUCAGUCCGGAUCGGAGUCUGCAACUCGACUCCGGAAGUCGGAAUCGCUAGUAAUCG
This 1116-nucleotide ribosomal RNA is filed under the name uncultured bacterium. RNAcentral describes it as "bacterial SSU rRNA". It matches the Rfam family "Bacterial small subunit ribosomal RNA", at positions 235 to 1344 of the family's 1533-position model. The record is from RNAcentral.